Molecule: long non-coding RNA, 1175 nt
Organism: Synchiropus splendidus (mandarinfish)
Lineage: Eukaryota; Metazoa; Chordata; Actinopteri; Syngnathiformes; Callionymidae
Exons: 3
Source: RefSeq, a predicted model, not a curated record
AUCACCGCAGCUGGUAGCAACAGCUCCAAGUCCCUGACAGAUGGACUUCAGUUUCCAGCUGUCAAACACCGUCUGUCCACAACCAAGAGAAUGUUUUCCCUUGUGAUGGUCAGGUGUGAGCCAGAAAGCGACUGGUGUUAUUUGGACUGCAGGACCAGGACGAUCAGGGCGAUCAGAGCGUGGCGACGCUUCACCUUUCAGGAGCAGUUGAGCGGUGCAGGAGGCUCUGACUCUUCAGCUGAUGCUGUUUGUCUGGCUACAUUUGACUGAACCAGCGGCGCCAUCCACAGUACAGAGGACACCCUGGACAGGAACGUCACCAGACAACCACUCGCACCUUCAGAUAAGUUGAUGAGGUCAUCUCCAACUCCCGCGCUGUCGAGUCACUCACUCGACUCUGUGUCUUGACCAGACCUGGGCAAAGCGUGGCCCGGGGGCCAUAUGCGGUCCGAUGCCUGUAUUUUCGUGGCCAUUUUUACGUCACACUGAAACUAUAAAUGAUGUGUUGUCAUUUUUCUUCCUUUUUUGUUCUUUCGUUUUUAGUCACCACCACCACUUCAGCAGUAAAUAUAGCACGUUUUUGUUUUAAGACUAGGACUUUCUUUUAUUUUUGUGUGUUUUUCUUGUUCCUCAAAAUACAUUGAAGGCAUAUUGAAACUAUGUUUUGAAAUAAAUUGCCUUAGGUCCCUGAGGAAACGUCAUUGCCCACCCCUGUUCUAACUAUGACCAAUAUAAUACGUCUGCGAAGGACAUACAAUAUAAGAAGCCACAAAAAGCCACAGCAGUUGACUCACCCAUGAACUCUAAAGCUUAUGUUAUGUUUUGACAUCAUGGCACUGGUAGCUUGAGGUAAACAGAAAACAGUAAACUGUAAAACAGACUGGCCAAAUGCUUCCCAUACAGAAAGUAAACACUGAAACUACUGGCAGCAGCAUGCGUCACACACAACAUGAAGUAAAUAUUGACUUAAAGAAUAGAAUGUUUACAGUCUGUAAGUUGCAAGCAACCCCCCCCCCAUGGACUAUCUGAGUCGGUGCCUUCUUUUAAUUUGCAUUUAAAAAUGCAUUUUUCAUUCUUUGUGUUGAUUUUAAUACUAAUGUAAAGCACUUUGUGAAUUACUGCCUGAAAAGUGCCAAAUAAAACAGCGAUUUUGUCAUCACAAUUCUUUAUCUAUA